This 429-nucleotide ribosomal RNA is filed under the name Bacteroidota bacterium. Its description in RNAcentral is "Bacteroidetes bacterium partial 16S ribosomal RNA". It matches the Rfam family "Bacterial small subunit ribosomal RNA", at positions 355 to 776 of the family's 1533-position model. Lineage: Bacteria; Pseudomonadati; Bacteroidota. The record is from RNAcentral.
UAGGGAAUCUUCCGCAAUGGACGCAAGUCUGACGGAGCAACGCCGCGUGAGUGAAGAAGGAUUUCGGUUCGUAAAACUCUGUUGUUAGAGAAGAACAGCGCAUAGAGUAACUGUUAUGCGUGUGACGGUAUCUAACCAGAAAGCCACGGCUAACUACGUGCCAGCAGCCGCGGUAAUACGUAGGUGGCAAGCGUUGUCCGGAUUUAUUGGGCGUAAAGCGAGCGCAGGCGGUCAAUUAAGUCUGAUGUGAAAGCCCCCGGCUCAACCGGGGAGGGUCAUUUGGAACUGGUUGACUUGAGUGCAGAAGAGGAGAGUGGAAUUCCAUGUGUAGCGGUGAAAUGCGUAGAUAUAUGGAGGAACACCAGUGGCGAAGGCGACUCUCUGGUCUGUAUCUGACGCUGAGGCUCGAAAGCGUGGGUAGCAAACAGG